RNAcentral lists this long non-coding RNA (310 nucleotides) under Homo sapiens (human). RNAcentral's name for it is "HSALNT0167261". Lineage: Eukaryota; Metazoa; Chordata; Mammalia; Primates; Hominidae. The record is from RNAcentral.
UCCAGGCCAGCGUGCCUGCCUCGCCUCCAGCCCGGGGCUCAUUUGCCAUCUAUCCUCCCCACACCUGAAUAUUUUAGGAUGGGCCUCCAGCGCUUUCCAGGCUAACUCAGCGAGCCCAGUCUUCUUAGUCAACUGAGAGACAUGUCUACAGAACAGACCAUGUGGCCAACUCCUCCUCCUCCCCAUGCCCCAGGCAAGAGGACUCUGGGAAGACAUCCAGGAAGCAAGGAGUCUGUAGCCAGGUGCCUUCAGAAGCCCAAGGUCAUUGGCCCUGCCACUCUGGUUUGCCAACUCCUCAAGGACCACAUAG